CCUACGGGAGGCAGCAGUGAGGAAUAUUGGUCAAUGGCCGGAAGGCUGAACCAGCCAUGCCGCGUGAAGGUCAGUGCCCUAUGGGCGUUAAACUUCUUUUGUGCGGGAGCAAUAAUGGUCACGUGUGGCCAGACGAGAGUACCGUACGAAUAAGCAUCGGCUAACUCCGUGCCAGCAGCCGCGGUAAUACGGGUGAUGCAAGCGUUAUCCGGAUUUAUUGGGUUUAAAGGGUGCGUAGGCUGUGAGGUAAGUCAGCGGUGAAAUGCCCCCGCUCAACGGGGUGAAGUGCCAUUGAUACUGCCUGGCUGGAAUGCGGAUGCCGUGGGAGGAAUGUGUGGUGUAGCGGUGAAAUGCAUAGAUAUCACACAGAACACCGAUUGCGAAGGCAUCUCACGAAUCCGCGAUUGACGCUGAUGCACGAAAGCGUGGGUAUCAAACAGGAUUAGAUACCCCAGUAGUC
RNAcentral lists this ribosomal RNA (460 nucleotides) under uncultured bacterium. RNAcentral describes it as "partial 16S ribosomal RNA". It matches the Rfam family "Bacterial small subunit ribosomal RNA", at positions 338 to 795 of the family's 1533-position model. The record is from RNAcentral.